UUACAAAAAAUGUCAUUAAAAUUAAAGAUAAAAGCCAGCACAAAAAUAAAAAACAAAGAACAUUCACUUGAAAACCCCAAAAUGUACAUCAACUGGCACUAUGAACACUAUGAACCAAUAAUAAAUGGAUUAAACAUGAAACACCAUCACCACCUCAUCUCCUUUCCAAUAACCAACCCUGUWAAGCACCAUUAAAUAUACUAUACCGGUCGAACACCUUUAAAUCAAAACACACUGUCUCACAGGACAGCUGCCUGUUGGUGGUGACAAGACAAAUUUGUGCUCUGCUUCUUUUUUCUUAGUUUUUAGGACGGUGCAUCCUUCUUCUUAUUCUACCUUUUAACGUUAGCAGCACAACCAGCUCCCAUGAUAGCUGUUGUUGCGCAGCUUCUUUCCUCAUUCAUUAAAAAGCUCAAACCAGGGACAGCUUUAGAUAAGGACAGGUCAUCCCUAACAGGGACUGUCCCUUGAAAACAGGAAUGUAUGGUCUCCCUGAAGUUUUGCUACUUUUGAACCUUAUCUGCCUGCCUUCUUCUCAGCCUGUGAGCCAGUCGUAGCUGAAAACCUGACACGUAGCUGUGUCAUGUAGCAGGAUGCUAAUCCUGACAACUCUCAACAUGAGGUUAUUCUUCACAAAGCAGAGCCCACCGCUGAUAAAAUGAACACGCUGUCUGAACCAUCUGCUGUUUUAUGACGCAGCAGAGCACUUAAACGUCCCGAGUUAAGUGCACUCCGCACACAGCACAGGCCUGUCACUGGCUCUGUUAUCAGCAUCACUGAUGGACACUGAAGAACAAACCCUUCACAUGUGGUUUUAUUUUGUUCAAAGACAAACAAGAUUCAAAAUWUGAAAAAAAUGUUGGUUUAAAACUAAAGUUAAAGCUUAAACUACAAAAAGCACACAGUUUUCAUUGAAAUACCCUUAUUUAUUUUUCUGUUCAAACUUUGUGUUCUGUGUCCUGUUGUUUAGUUGUGUUUUGGUGGCAGCUUAGCCAUUUCAUGUGGUCUCAGUUCUCUCUACUCGUCAUGUUGUUUAAAGUGAUCUGACUACUGUCACAUGUUGGRCAUGUAAACAGAGAGGGACAAGACAGAAAACCAGACUAGAACCAAAAUAACACAAGAACCCAGACAAACCAUAACACGCCAACUGUCAAACAACGGGACAGUCCUGGAUUUGACCCCUCCUGUUCUCGUGAUGUCCAAAUGUAUUUGAGAAGCGCUUCCUUUGCUUUAUGAAAUAUGGUUAUUAUUGCACAAAGCAAUAAUAACCAUAUUUUGGCUGUAGAGAGCAACGUUUAAGUUUUCAGAAACCGGCACAAGUUUUCACAGAGUUACAGUAAAGCAAAGCGCAGAGUGUGAAUGUUGGUAGGGGAGGGGGUUGUGUGUGUGUGUGUGUGUGUGCGUGUGUGUGUGUGUGUGUGUGUGUGUGUGUGUGUGUGUGUGUGUGUGUGUGUGU
This is a long non-coding RNA of Austrofundulus limnaeus, 1456 nucleotides long. RefSeq lists it as uncharacterized. The record is from RefSeq and is a predicted model, not a curated record. The transcript is spliced from 3 exons. NCBI's taxonomy places the organism in Eukaryota, Metazoa, Chordata, Actinopteri, Cyprinodontiformes, Rivulidae.